UACGUAGGGGCCGAGCGUUGUCCGGAGUUAUUGGGCGUAAAGCGCGCGCAGGCGGCUUGGCGCGCCCGACGUGAAAGCCCCCGGCUUAACCGGGGAGGGUCGUCGGGUACGGUCAGGCUUGAGGGCGGGAGGGGGUGGUGGAAUUCCCGGUGUAGUGGUGAAAUGCGUAGAGAUCCGGAGGAACACCAGAGGCGAAAGCGGCAUCCUGGCUCAGCACUGACGCUCAGACACGACAGCAUGGGGAGCGAACGGG
RNAcentral lists this ribosomal RNA (253 nucleotides) under uncultured bacterium. RNAcentral describes it as "partial 16S ribosomal RNA". It matches the Rfam family "Bacterial small subunit ribosomal RNA", at positions 524 to 776 of the family's 1533-position model. The record is from RNAcentral.